Molecule: ribosomal RNA, 935 nt
Filed under: uncultured Neocallimastigales
Lineage: Eukaryota; Fungi; Neocallimastigomycota; Neocallimastigomycetes; Neocallimastigales
Description: partial large subunit ribosomal RNA
Rfam family: Eukaryotic large subunit ribosomal RNA (bases 140-935)
Source: RNAcentral
CGCAUCUGUGCAUGCAGCAUAUCAAUAAGCGGAGGAAAAGGUACCUACGCUUAGGAUGUUGACGAGACUGUCGAUUUCAUACAUGACUCUGUGCAUAUCAAUAAGCGGAGGAAAAGCCAACUACCUACGCUUAGGAUGUUGACACACGCGCGUGCUCGACUCUAUACAUGACUCUGUGCAUAUCAAUAAGCGGAGGAAAAGAAACUAACAAGGAUUCCCUUAGUAACGGCGAGUGAAGCGGGAAGAGCUCAAAUUUGAAAUCUUCAAGGUUUUACCUUGACGAAUUGUAGUUUAAAGAAGUGUUUUCUGUUGAAGUUUUGGUAAAAGUUCUUUGGAAUAGGACAUCAUAGAGGGUGAGAAUCCCCGUAUUUGACCAUUAUUUUCAGCUGUGUGAUACACUUUCAAAGAGUCGGAUUGUUUGGGAAUGCAGUCCAAAAUGGGUGGUAAAUUUCAUCUAAAGCUAAAUAUUGGCGAGAGACCGAUAGCGAACAAGUACCGUGAGGGAAAGAUGAAAAGAACUUUGAAAAGAGAGUUAAACAGUACGUGAAAUUGUCAAAAGGGAAGCGUUUGACACCAGUGUUGUUUUCUCGAAAAUCAAUUAAAAAGAGUUAGAUUUUGUUGUGUAUUGACCUUAACAGCUUGCAUUUCAAUUUUCUUGCUUUUUUUAAUGCACUUUUCGUUUAACAAGUCAACAUCAGUUUCUUUUGUUGUAAAAAGGUCAUUGGAAGGUGGCUUUCUUUUCGGAGAAAGUGUUUAUAGCCUUUGACUCCUGCAAUCGGAGAGACUGAGGUCUGCAGCGUAGAUCCUUCGGGGUUAGAUACAUUUGUGCUAAGUUAUAGCUUUUUAUAGACAACUUGUUGACUAUGAUUAGUCUUGUAGCUUACUCGCUUAUGCUAUUUUACCUACGCUUAGGAUGUUGACACACGCGCGUGCUC